RNAcentral lists this ribosomal RNA (250 nucleotides) under uncultured bacterium. Its description in RNAcentral is "partial 16S ribosomal RNA". It matches the Rfam family "Bacterial small subunit ribosomal RNA", at positions 524 to 773 of the family's 1533-position model. The record is from RNAcentral.
UACGGAGGGGGUUAGCGUUGUUCGGAAUUACUGGGCGUAAAGCGCGCGUAGGCGGAUUGGAAAGUUGGGGGUGAAAUCCCAGGGCUCAACCCUGGAACUGCCUCCAAAACUAUCAGUCUAGAGUUCGAGAGAGGUGAGUGGAACUCCGAGUGUAGAGGUGAAAUUCGUAGAUAUUCGGAAGAACACCAGUGGCGAAGGCGGCUCACUGGCUCGAUACUGACGCUGAGGUGCGAAAGUGUGGGGAGCAAAC